GGGAGUGAAAUAGAACCUGAAACCCUGCACUUACAAGCUGUGGAAGCACAUUUCUUGUGUGACCGCGUACUUUUUGUAGAACGGGCCAACGAGUUACGUUAAGUAGCAAGGUUAAGCACUUAAGGUGUGGAGCCGUAGCGAAAGCGAGUUUUAACUGAGCGUUCAGUUACUUGACGUAGACCCGAAACCGGGCGACCUACCCAUGAGCAGGAUGAAGCGAAAGUAAAAUUUCGUGGAGGUCCGAACCCACG
This 251-nucleotide ribosomal RNA is filed under the name Clostridioides difficile. RNAcentral's name for it is "partial 23S ribosomal RNA". It matches the Rfam family "Bacterial large subunit ribosomal RNA", at positions 534 to 784 of the family's 2925-position model. The record is from RNAcentral. Lineage: Bacteria; Bacillati; Bacillota; Clostridia; Peptostreptococcales; Peptostreptococcaceae.